ACUCAAAUGAAUAGACGGGGGCCCGCACAAGCAGCGGAGCGUGUGGUUUAAUUCGAUGCGACGCGAAGAACCUUACCUGGGUUUGACAUCUGGUUGCACCACCCGUAAUGGGGUGUCCCUUCGGGGCGGCCAGACAGGUGCUGCAUGGCUGUCGUCAGCUCGUGCCGUGAGGUGUUGGGUUAAGUCCCCUAACGAGCGCAACCCCUGGGGUCCGUUGUAAUUUUCGGGCCCGACUGCCGCGCGCAACGCGGAGGAAGGUGGGGCUGAAGUCAAGUCAGCACGGCCCUUACGUCCAGGGCAACACACACGCUACAAUGGCCGGUACAAUGGGUCGCCAAGGCGCAAGCCGGAGCCAAUCCCCCAAAGCCGGUCUCAGUUCGGAUGGCAGGCUGCAACUCGCCUGCUUGAAGCUGGAGUUGCUAGUAACCGUGGGUCAGCACACCACGGUGAAUACGUUCCCGGGCCUUGCACACACCGCCCGU
This 482-nucleotide ribosomal RNA is filed under the name uncultured bacterium. RNAcentral describes it as "partial 16S ribosomal RNA". It matches the Rfam family "Bacterial small subunit ribosomal RNA", at positions 899 to 1397 of the family's 1533-position model. The record is from RNAcentral.